CCUACGGGAGGCAGCAGUGGGGAAUAUUGGGCAAUGGAGGCAACUCUGACCCAGCAACGCCGCGUGAAUGAUGAAGGUCUUCGGAUUGUAAAGUUCUUUUCUAAGGGAAGAAGAAAGUGACGGUACCUUAGGAAUAAGCCUCGGCUAACUACGUGCCAGCAGCCGCGGUAAUACGGAGGAGGCAAGCGUUAUCCGGAAUGACUGGGCGUAAGGGGUGCGUAGGUGGUUUGACAAGUUAGUAGCGCAACUCCGGAGUCCAACUUCGGAACUACUACUAAAACUGUUGGACUUGAGUGCAGGAGGGGCAAUCGGAAGUCCGAGUGUAGCGGUGGAAUGCGUAGAUAUUAGGAGGAACACCAGUGGCGAAGGCGGAUUGCUAGACUGUAACUGACACUGAGGCAGGAAAGCGUGGGGAGCAAACAGGAUUAGAUACCCUUGUAGUC
Molecule: ribosomal RNA, 443 nt
Filed under: uncultured bacterium
Lineage: Bacteria
Description: partial 16S ribosomal RNA
Rfam family: Bacterial small subunit ribosomal RNA
Source: RNAcentral